GUGGGGAAUCUUGCACAAUGGGCGAAAGCCUGAUGCAGCGACGCCGCGUGAGCGAAGAAGGCCUUUGGGCCGUAAAGCUCUGUCGGGAGGGAAGAAGGAAGCGACGGUACCUCCCAAGGAAGCCCCGGCUAACUACGUGCCAGCAGCCGCGGUAACACGUAGGGGGCGAGCGUUAUCCGGAAUCAUUGGGCGUAAAGGGUACGUAGGCGGCCUUUUAAGCGCGGGGUCUAAGGCGGUGGCCCAACCACCGUUCGCCCCGCGAACUGAGGGGCUUGAGUGUCGGAGAGGGAAGCGGAAUUCCUAGUGUAGCGGUGAAAUGCGUAGAUAUUAGGAGGAACACCAGUGGCGAAGGCGGCUUCCUGGACGAAGACUGACGCUGAGGUACGAAAGCGUGGGGAGCGAACAGGA
Molecule: ribosomal RNA, 408 nt
Filed under: uncultured bacterium
Lineage: Bacteria
Description: bacterial SSU rRNA
Rfam family: Bacterial small subunit ribosomal RNA
Source: RNAcentral